RNAcentral lists this transfer RNA (72 nucleotides) under Heterocephalus glaber (naked mole-rat). It matches the Rfam family "tRNA". From Rfam's summary of the family: Transfer RNA (tRNA) molecules are approximately 80 nucleotides in length. The record is from Rfam by way of RNAcentral. Lineage: Eukaryota; Metazoa; Chordata; Mammalia; Rodentia; Bathyergidae.
UGAGAUAUAGCUCAGUGGUAAAGCCCUUGUGUAGCACGCAUGAGGACCUGGGUUCAAUUCCCAGCAACACAA